CAGCAACUAAGUUAAUCACUUCCCAGGCGGCUGCAUCACCCCAUUUAUUUUACCGGGUGAGCCCGGAAGGGUCAGUCUCACCACCUGCGGAGACGUCGCCCCCCGGGCCCGAGCUCGGACAGCUCACCUUUCUCCCCUCCCCUAGUCUCUCCGCUCUACGCCCUUCCCCUCCCCCUAACAGGGGUAAAAUCGGGGCGGAGCUGGACCCCCUCCUCAUUCUUCUAUUUCCCUUUCCCAAUGCCCCCUCAUCAGCCCAGGAGGCAUCCUCUCCUCCACCGAAACCCGUGUUCUGGAGGCCCUAAGGUGUUGGGGGGGAGGGAACAGAGGGGCAGCCUAGGCCCCUGAGGUCACUAAAAGCGUGAGGUUUCGUCGCUUGGGAACCAGCGAGAUGGACAAAAGGAGCGGUUUGGGAUGCAGUUGGAGGCGUGGACAGGUGAGGGGCUCCACCCCAGUACCCAGAGGCGCCGGCAUUUACCUUGGCAUUGCCAGGCCCGGCAGGUCCAGAAAUGUCCCUGGUCCCGGCCCCACCCACCCCCUCCGCACUGGCUUCUGGGAAAUGUAGUUCGGCUCUUCCGCCGCUUCCGGGCCUCGCCUUCAAACCAUCUCCAGGGUUCCCCCUAGGUGUUCUUGUCGGUACCUUCUGGAAGGCGGGCCGGGGCUUGCUUGACUAACCUGAAGGAAGACGCUGAGAUUCUCCCUGAAGCGUCCCACAUCCCUAAUAACUCCUGGAUAGAGGCCAACUAUGAUUAAUAAUCCAUGGUUUGGUCCAACCAUGACUAAUAACCCAUGUCGUGGUCCAACCAUGACUAAUAACCGAUGGAUCUGGUCCAGCCGUGAUGAAUAGCCCGUGAUUCUGAUCCAUGAGCUAUGGUUCUGGUCCAACCCCUUCAAAAUACCGAUGAGACGGAGAAUCAGUCAACAAGCAUGUAUUAAACACCUCCUGUGUACCAGGCACUGUGCCAAAUGCUGGGGUCACAAGAAAGGCCAAAGACGGUCUUUUCUCCAGAAUCUCACAGUCCAAUGAGGACGACAAUGAAAAUUACCAGUACAAACAAUAUCUACAUGCACAGGAUGAACCGGAGAGAGGGCACCAGCAGUACCAGGGAUGGGGAAAGGUUUCUUUGGAAGAUCCGACCGACAGGUAGAGCUGAGUUCAAAGGCGACUCUGAAGUUGGGCUCUGGGGUCACUACCAGGCUUCCGAGAUACUGUUUUUUUCUUCUUUCUUUCUUUCUUCCCUCUCUGGCCUCUUGGUUUUAGGAAUACUCCUGUACUGUAUAACCUCUAUCAUAUAA
This 1293-nucleotide long non-coding RNA is filed under the name Monodelphis domestica (gray short-tailed opossum). Its description in RNAcentral is "lncRNA (ENSMODG00000045924.1)". The record is from RNAcentral. Lineage: Eukaryota; Metazoa; Chordata; Mammalia; Didelphimorphia; Didelphidae.